AUGAGCUUUACCACUCGCUUCACCUUAUCCACCAACUACCAGUCCCUGAGCUCUGUCAAGGCACCCAGCUAUGGCGCCUGGCCAGCGUCUAUCCAGGUGCUGCGGGCUCUGGUUCCCAGAUCUCCGUGUCCCACUCCACCAGCUUCUGGGACAGCUUGGGGUCUGGCUGCAGGGAUGGCCGAGGGGCUGGCAGGAAUGGGAGGCAUCCAGAAUGAGGAGACCAUGCAAUGCCUGAAUGCCUGGCCUCCUACCUGGACAGAGUGAGAGCCUGGAAACCGAGAACCGGAAGCUGGAGAGCAAAAUCCAGGAGCACCUGGAGAAGAAGGGACCCCAGCUCAGGGACUGGGGCCAUUACUUCAAGACCAUCAAGGACCUGAGAGCUCAGAUCUUCUUAAAUACUGUGGACAAUGCCCACAUCGUUCUGCAGAUUGACAAUGCCCAUCUUGCUACUGACGACUUUAGAGUCAAGUAUGAGACAGAGCUGGCCAUGUGCCAGUCUGUGGAGAGUGACAUCCAUGGACUCCACAAGGUCAAUGAUGACAUCAAUGUCACUUGGCUGCAGCUGAAGCCAGAGAUCGAGGCUCUCAACGAAGAGCUGUUCUUCAUGAAGAAGAACCAUAAAGGGGAAGUAAAAGGCCUACAAGCCCAGAUUGCCAGCUCUGGGUUGACCAUGGAGGCAGAUGCCCCCAAAUCUCAGGACAGCAAGAUCAUGGCAGACAUCUUGGCCCAAUACAAUGAGCUGGCUUGAAAGAAUCGACAGGAGCUAGACAAGUACUGGUCUCAGCAGAUUGAGGAGGGCACCACAGUGGUCACCACGCAGUCUGCUGAGGCUGGAGAGGCUAAGAUGACGCUCACAGAGCUGAGACAUACAGUCCAGUCCUUAAAGAUUGACCUGGACUCAAUGAGAAAUGUGAAGGCCAGUUUGUAGAACAGACUGAGGGAGGUGGAGGCCCUCUACUUCCUGCAGAUGGAGCAGCUUAACGGGAUCCUGCUGCAACUGCAGUCAGAGCUGGCACAGACCCGGGCAGAGGGGCAACGCCAGGCCCAGGAGUGAGUACGAGGCCCUGCUGAAUAUCAAGGUCAAACUAGAGGCUGAGAUCGCCACCUACCACCACCUGCUGGAAGAUGGCAAGGACUUCAAUCUUGGUGAUGCCCUGGACAGCAGCAACUCCAUGCGAACCAUCCAAAAGACGACCAUCCACCAGAUAGUGGAUGGCAAAGUGGUAUCUGAGACCAAUGACACCAAAGUUCUGAGAAUUAAGCCAGCAGAAGCAGGUCUACCCGCACUUCUACAGCAGAGGACAGAGAAUUCACCCAACCCUCCAACCCCGUUCCCCGUGUGUCCCUCCCCACCGCCCCCGCGGGCCCAAAAGGGAGAGCUGGGUUUGAAGGAAGCUCUGACCCUAGACAGGGGACAUGCAAGAGGAGGAAGGCAGCGAUGUCCAACCUUCUACUUCUCUCAGGCAGUGAGCCGGCCGGGGCCCCUCCCGACGGUCUCCCGCCAGGCCUACAGUCGACCGGGUCGGUCCGCGGGCGUGGUUGGCUCUGGCCCUGGCGGCGGCCGGGCCUCCCAGAUCUCCGGCCCCUCCCGCCGGCCAGGCCCCCGGGCCGCCGCCCCGACACCGAUGGAACGCGGAGGAGGAAGGGGGAGCCAGGCGACUGACCGGCGACAUGAGCCGCCUCACCCUCGGCUCGGCCGACCCGCGCCCCCCGCUCCCUCUGGGGCCGUCUGGAGCUCCCCGCCCCUUACUCACCCCCCCGGUCCGGCGCCUCCUCCACCUCCUCCACCUCCUCCACCUCCUCCUCCUCCUCCUCCUCCCUCCUCUCGGCCGUGGCUCCUGCUCCGGCUCUGCGCGGCGACGGCAGCGGCAGCGGCGGCGGCAGCGGCCUCGGGAGCGGCGGCGGCGCCUCCUCCAGAACGCGCACGCACGCACCACGCAGGCCCCGCCCCCUGGUUCUGCCCCGCCCCUCCAAGUUGGCGUUGGCUGGGCUUCGGCCCCGCCUUCCCCACGGCGUUCCGGAGUCCGCUUAAAGGAGCCGCGCACACUGGAGUCGGGAAAGCCUGGAACUACCGGGAAGGGGCGGGGAGUUUUAGCUUUGCGUAGGGCGGGAUGGGAGGUGGGUAAG
RNA transcript from Pan troglodytes (chimpanzee), 2127 nucleotides. It is a transcript of the gene named keratin, type I cytoskeletal 18-like, with no coding region annotated. The record is from RefSeq and is a predicted model, not a curated record. Lineage: Eukaryota; Metazoa; Chordata; Mammalia; Primates; Hominidae. The transcript is spliced from 3 exons.